Ictalurus punctatus (channel catfish) is the source of this 1062-nucleotide long non-coding RNA. RefSeq lists it as uncharacterized. NCBI's taxonomy places the organism in Eukaryota, Metazoa, Chordata, Actinopteri, Siluriformes, Ictaluridae. The transcript is spliced from 8 exons. The record is from RefSeq and is a predicted model, not a curated record.
CGUUGGUGACGUCACCGCGAGCGCGAGAAGUCGAACUGAGGAGCAGAAACCGUUGUUAGUGUUAGUUCUGGCCCGUUUGGACCCAAACUAAAGUGUAUCAGUAUGAAGCAGGCGGUGACGGCGCAGUGAUUCACUCUCGGUGCUCGGUUCACUAAUGACCGAAUCACCGGGGAACCGACCAAAGAUAACUCACACCCGCACGGAGAAGAAGAACAAGAGGAGGAGAAGAUGAGCUGGAGUGGGGCAAAGAGAACUGCAUUCAGAUCAAAUGGAUACAAGAGGUGGCCGAGUUGUUUGAGGAUCUGAAGAAUUGAGUGUCACAAUUCAACAUGCACAUCAGUGAAACUUUUCCCUCUGACUACACCAGCACGCACGCACAGAAAUUCAUAGUGCAGGUGGCGAUUGCAGGCACAUUUUAUCCGAACUGCUUCCUCCAGGGAACUGUGGACGAGGAGCUCGCCUCCAAGGAGCUGUAGUGGUGUGUAAUCUCCCUCCAUUUGCAUUCCUCUACUAUAAACAGCUCCAGUCUCUCUUCAGACACUGUGGUCAAGUCAAAUCCAUCUCCUUUGACAGCUCCAGGGCCUAUGUAGAGUUCUACCGCUCGUCAAUGAGAGGUACUGGCGUUCUCCCAGAGGUCUCUCUGUCUCUCCUCCUCACGCAGCAGAGACUUCCUCUCCAUCUCAACGUUUAACCCGCUGGAGAGGUGGAGACUUGGGCAGGGGGGUAGUGUAUCUCACACCUCAGAUAUACACGUGGGGUUUCCAGGCUCACGAGGCAAGUCUGGAGAAACAGAGGUGGCUGACAGUGGCCGUUAAUACACGGGUGCUCUGCCCACUUCCUGUCUCACCUUAUCCAAAUCUUCUGUGUCUCGCCCCUUUCUCUGAAACUCACACCAAACCUGGGAACUACUACAGAGCCAAAAUACUGCAUGUCAUGGGGAGUAAUGUGGAGGUAACAUCUGUACACACACACGUACACCUACUAAAGCGCCUCCGUGAUGGAGAAUGGAGUGGUUACAGGAAAACUGCACAUUGAGUGUACACGUGUGUGUGUGUGUGUGUG